RNAcentral lists this ribosomal RNA (253 nucleotides) under uncultured bacterium. Its description in RNAcentral is "partial 16S ribosomal RNA". It matches the Rfam family "Bacterial small subunit ribosomal RNA", at positions 524 to 776 of the family's 1533-position model. The record is from RNAcentral.
UACAGAGGGGGCAAGCGUUGUUCGGAAUUACUGGGCGUAAAGGGCGCGUAGGCGGCCUUCUAAGUCGAACGUGAAAUCCCCGGGCUCAACCCGGGAACUGCGUCCGAUACUGGAAGGCUUGAAUCCGGGAGAGGGAUGCGGAAUUCCCGGUGUAGCGGUGAAAUGCGCAGAUAUCGGGAGGAACACCGGUGGCGAAGGCGGUUCUCUGGGCCUGACCUGACGCUGAGGCACGAAAGCGUGGGGAGCAAACAGG